Astatotilapia calliptera (eastern happy) is the source of this 1065-nucleotide long non-coding RNA. Lineage: Eukaryota; Metazoa; Chordata; Actinopteri; Cichliformes; Cichlidae. The record is from Ensembl.
UCUGUAUCAAGGUUUAACAAGCUGACCUUCAACCAUAAAUUCACUGCAUGUUCUAGGUGAAAGUGUAUUGUACUCUAGCAUUUUCCUCAACACUUAUUACCCAUAAAUGCACUAAAUUAUGCCUCAAUAAGUCGGAUCCUAUUAUAUUUUGUGUUGAUGUGACUUGACUAACUAUCAGUACGUCAGUUUUAGCUUUUUAUUAGCUUUCAAAUUAUUUCUACAUUCCUAAACAAUGACCCCUUUAGCUCAGAUGUCUGCUGGUAUAUUUCGAUUGUGCGUCCAUCUUAUCCUUUUCAGGGUCGCGGGGGGCGCUGGAGCCUAUCCCAGCUGUCAUAGAGCGAGAGGCGGGGUAGACCCUGGACAGGUUGCCAGUCGCAGGGCUAACACACAGAGACAGACAACCAUUCGCGCUCACAUUCACACCUAUGGGCAAUUUUGGAUUAAUCAAUUAACCUUUCCCCACAAACUGCAUGUCUUUGGACCGUGGGAGGAAGCCGGAGUACCCGGAGGGAACCCACGCAAACACGGGGAGAACAUGCAAAUUUCACACAGAAAGACCCCGGCCUGAUGGUGGAACUGAACUGAGGACCUUCUUGCUGUGCGGCAACAGUGCUAACCACCGUGCCACUGUGCUGCCCUGCUUUAUAUAUAGUCUAAAAAAAAAAAAACCCAAAAGUUUGAUGCUACAGCUGCAUAAAGUGUCAUACUUCUGCAAGCUCUGGUUCACACCCCCAGUGUUGCCAUCAGUCAGUCUCCAUCUCUUUGCUGACCCUUUCUCUGCUCUCCUUGCUCCUUAUGUUUCUCACCUCCUGUAUCCCAUCAGGCUGACCCGGGCGUGUUACCCGUGGUGAGUGAGACACGCGAGCAAGAAAACCCCAGGCCAAUGCUGCUGGGAAAACCAUCAUCCACAUUCACACCUCCACCCCCCAACCCGUCAACUUCACAGCAGCACCGAACACCAGCUAAUUUAUUACAUGUGUCUUUCUACUGGGCAGGGAUAAAGGCAUAUAAAGAAUGACCUCAUCUCCCUCUCUCUCUCUCCCUCUCUCUCUCUCACACACACUC